UUGGCCGAAAGGUCUGAGAGAAAGAUCGUCCUAAAUUAUGUCGAGAACGCCAUGGUGAAGGAGCUUAAGAACCAGGCGAUCUCUCGUAGAUAUUCAUGCUUGGAUGUGAUUACGGCCGAACUAAAGUGGUGGAUAAUGAACGUGAUUGCCCAUGAGAAAAUUCAGCUGUAACUCUUUGAUCUCGGCCCUAGGACAGGUAAAGCCCAGCUCUUUGGUCUUUUAGUCAUAGCGAUCUCACUAAUUUGCUUUUCUGUGCAGAUGUGGCAAGAGGCGACGCCGAAACUCGAAAGUGGAAGAAGGAGCUCG
Molecule: unclassified non-coding RNA, 306 nt
Filed under: Hevea brasiliensis (rubber tree)
Lineage: Eukaryota; Viridiplantae; Streptophyta; Magnoliopsida; Malpighiales; Euphorbiaceae
Source: RNAcentral